Molecule: ribosomal RNA, 255 nt
Filed under: uncultured archaeon
Lineage: Archaea
Description: partial 16S ribosomal RNA
Rfam family: Archaeal small subunit ribosomal RNA
Source: RNAcentral
UGGCCGUAAACGAUGUGGACUUGGUGGUUGGAAUGGCUCCGAGCUGCUCCAGUGCCGAAGGGAGCUGUUAAGUCCACCGCCUGGGAAGUACGGUCGCAAGACUGAACUUAAGGAUUGGCGGGGAGCCACCACAACGCGUGGAGCCUGCGGUUUAAUUGGAUUCAACGCCGGACAUCUCACCAGGGGCACAGCAGAAUGAUGGCCAGGUUGAUGACCUUGCUUGACAAGCUGAGAGGAGGUGCAUGGCGUGUGACU